UUCCUCAGCCGGGAAUCAAACCCGGGGCUCCCGCGUGGCAGGCGAGCAUUCUACCACUGAACCAAAA
RNAcentral lists this transfer RNA (67 nucleotides) under Cordylochernes scorpioides. Its description in RNAcentral is "tRNA-Gly". Lineage: Eukaryota; Metazoa; Arthropoda; Arachnida; Pseudoscorpiones; Chernetidae. The record is from RNAcentral.